GACGAACGCUGGCGGCGUGCUUAACACAUGCAAGUCGUACGGUAAGGCCCUUUCUGGGGUACACGAGUGGCGAACGGGUGAGUAACACGUGCGUAACCUGCCCACAACUUUGGGAUAACGCUAGGAAACUGGUGCUAAUACUGGAUAUGUGCUCCUGCUGCAUGGUGGGGGUUGGAAAGCUCCGGCGGUUGUGGAUGGACUCGCGGCCUAUCAGCUUGUUGGUGGGGUAGUGGCCUACCAAGGCGGCGACGGGUAGCCGGCCUGAGAGGGUGACCGGCCACAAUGGGACUGAGAUACGGCCCAGACUCCUACGGGAGGCAGCAGUGGGGAAUAUUGCACAAUGGGCGCAAGCCUGAUGCAGCAACGCCGCGUGCGGGAUGACGGCCUUCGGGUUGUAAACCGCGUUCAGCAGGGACGAAGCUUUUUGUGACGGUACCUGCAGAAGAAGCACCGGCUAACUACGUG
RNAcentral lists this ribosomal RNA (465 nucleotides) under uncultured bacterium. RNAcentral's name for it is "partial 16S ribosomal RNA". It matches the Rfam family "Bacterial small subunit ribosomal RNA", at positions 28 to 507 of the family's 1533-position model. The record is from RNAcentral.